This 72-nucleotide transfer RNA is filed under the name Ovis aries (sheep). It matches the Rfam family "tRNA". Rfam says of the family: Transfer RNA (tRNA) molecules are approximately 80 nucleotides in length. Their secondary structure includes four short double-helical elements and three loops (D, anti-codon, and T loops). Lineage: Eukaryota; Metazoa; Chordata; Mammalia; Artiodactyla; Bovidae. The record is from Rfam by way of RNAcentral.
UCCCUGGUGGUCCAGUGGUUAGAACUUUGCCUUCCCCUGCAGGGGGUGCAGGUUCAAUCCCUGCUUGGAGAA